AUUUGGGUCUCAACCCAACCCAGGUUAGUGCUUGGAUUACUAUAUUGAAGAUGUUGUGGUUAUGUUUCACUAUGUUGGUGGUUUGAUUUUUGUUCAGAAUGUUGCAAUUAUAUGAAUGUUAUUUUCUUGUUGGGGAAAUUUGAGUAGAAAUGAAGGGUUGGUUACAGGGUAACAUCAAAGUUAAAAUAGAAAAGGUAAACAUUUUUAUGCAAACAUAUUUGACGUUCUUAUUGAUAGAUGGAUAGCGGCUGUUAUGCGUAAUUCAUAGGAAUGUAACAUUUUAGUAAAUUAAUAUAGCCUCAUAUUGUUUAAAUCCUGAAAUUUGAGUUGAUAAGAGUAUUGGCUUCAUUGUUGGCCUGACUAUAAACUCUCAUUUCUCAAAGUUGAUACUCCGAAUAAUAUUGCAACUCAAGUAUUUUACUAGGCAUUCUUCAUGUGAGCUCCAUGCGGUACUGCAGUUUCUGAAACAAAUUGCUCAUGCGAAAGAAAAUAUUGGUGGUAUUAAAAAAAUAUAUUAGUGGAGCUUUUCGUUAGUACUUCAAAUGCAGUU
Molecule: unclassified non-coding RNA, 550 nt
Filed under: Hevea brasiliensis (rubber tree)
Lineage: Eukaryota; Viridiplantae; Streptophyta; Magnoliopsida; Malpighiales; Euphorbiaceae
Source: RNAcentral